This is a long non-coding RNA of Platichthys flesus (European flounder), 302 nucleotides long. RefSeq lists it as uncharacterized. NCBI's taxonomy places the organism in Eukaryota, Metazoa, Chordata, Actinopteri, Pleuronectiformes, Pleuronectidae. The transcript is spliced from 3 exons. The record is from RefSeq and is a predicted model, not a curated record.
CACACACACACACACACACACACACAGGUCAGGUCUGACACACAAACACACACAGGUCAGGUCACAGGUCACACACACACACACACACACACACACACACACACACACAGGUCAGGUCUGACACACACACACACACAGGUCAGGUCACAGGUCACACACACACACACACACACACACACACACACACACACACACACACACAGGUCAGGUCUGACACACACACACACACAGGUCAGGUCACAGGUCACAGGUCACACACACACACACACACACACACACACACACACACACACACACACACA